GCCAGGUGUGGUGGCUUGCACCUGUAGUCCCAGCUACUUGGGAAGCUGAGGUGGGAGGAUUGCUUGAGCCCAGGAGUUUGGAGACUACAGUGAGUUAUGAUCAUGUCACUGCACUCCAGCCUGGGCAACAGAGCAAGACUCCAUCUGUA
Molecule: non-coding RNA, 149 nt
Filed under: Gorilla gorilla gorilla (western lowland gorilla)
Lineage: Eukaryota; Metazoa; Chordata; Mammalia; Primates; Hominidae
Source: Rfam by way of RNAcentral